GCCGGGCAUGUUGGUGCAUGCCUUUAAUCCCAGCACUUGGGAGGCAGAGGCAGGCGGGAUCUCUGUGAGUUCAAGGCCAGCCUGGUCUACAUAGUGAGUUCCAGGACAGCUGGGGCUACAGGGAUACCCUGUCUCAAAAAGACCAGAAAAAAAAAGUGUUUUGAGAGAGUCUCACCACAAAGCCUUGGCUGUCCUGGAACUCACAAUGUAGACCAGGCUAGCCUCACUCUCAGAGAUCCUAGAGAUCCACCUGCCUUU
This 258-nucleotide small RNA is filed under the name Nannospalax galili (Upper Galilee mountains blind mole rat). RNAcentral's name for it is "Metazoan signal recognition particle RNA (ENSNGAG00000009269.1)". The record is from RNAcentral. Lineage: Eukaryota; Metazoa; Chordata; Mammalia; Rodentia; Spalacidae.